GGGAGUUUUACUGGUCUUAUAAAAAACUUUAAAGGUGGCUUACACUAUUGAGCUUAUCCUAUAGCUAUUAUAAUAAUUAUAAUUUUGAUUGUUAGCUGUAUCUUUUGAUGCGCCAAGGAGGCAUUGGAUAAGUGCAUACGUGAAGAUGUGGUGUCUUCCACUUCUGACGGGCAAAACUUGUCCCACUUAGAAUGUGCUUUGAAUCACAUAUAUAUCAUUGGGACAUUACCUGUGUUAUGCUUUUGCAAUUACACAUUUACCAUUCCAAGCUUUUAUAGGGAAAAAAGAUUAAGCUCAUGCACAUGACAUCCAACUGGACGUGUCACAACUCACAACCGCAAACAGACGGGGGCAAUUCAGAAAACAGAGUU
This 371-nucleotide unclassified non-coding RNA is filed under the name Hevea brasiliensis (rubber tree). The record is from RNAcentral. Lineage: Eukaryota; Viridiplantae; Streptophyta; Magnoliopsida; Malpighiales; Euphorbiaceae.